RNAcentral lists this ribosomal RNA (119 nucleotides) under Physeter macrocephalus (sperm whale). The record is from RNAcentral. Lineage: Eukaryota; Metazoa; Chordata; Mammalia; Artiodactyla; Physeteridae.
GUCUACGGCCAUACCACCCUGAACGCGCCCGAUCCCGUCUGAUCUCGGAAGCUAAGCAGGGUCGGGCCUGGUUAGUACUUGGCUGGGAGACCGCCUGGGAAUACCGGGUGCUGUAGGCU